AUUGAACGCUGGCGGCAGGCCUAACACAUGCAAGUCGAACGGUAACAGGAAGCAGCUUGCUGCUUUGCUGACGAGUGGCGGACGGGUGAGUAAUGUCUGGGAAACUGCCUGAUGGAGGGGGAUAACUACUGGAAACGGUAGCUAAUACCGCAUAACGUCGCAAGACCAAAGAGGGGGACCUUCGGGCCUCUUGCCAUCGGAUGUGCCCAGAUGGGAUUAGCUAGUAGGUGGGGUAACGGCUCACCUAGGCGACGAUCCCUAGCUGGUCUGAGAGGAUGACCAGCCACACUGGAGCUGAGACACGGUCCAGACUCCUACGGGAGGCAGCAGUGGGGAAUAUUGCACAAUGGGCGCAAGCCUGAUGCAGCCAUGCCGCGUGUAUGAAGAAGGCCUUCGGGUUGUAAAGUACUUUCAGCGGGGAGGAAGGGAGUAAAGUUAAUACCUUUGCUCAUUGACGUUACCCGCAGAAGAAGCACCGGCUAACUCCGU
This 489-nucleotide ribosomal RNA is filed under the name uncultured bacterium. RNAcentral's name for it is "partial 16S ribosomal RNA". It matches the Rfam family "Bacterial small subunit ribosomal RNA", at positions 30 to 506 of the family's 1533-position model. The record is from RNAcentral.